UAUUUUGUCUCUGAAAACCAUGUCCUCUGGUGUGACACUAUAUGUUGAUUUUAAAUCGGGAAAUUCCACAGACAACUUUAUUUAACUUAAGGACCCAUUUCAAGUAGCUGUUACUGAAGCCCCCUGUGAAGCUUGCAACAUGUGUACAUGACAGAAAGAAUUGAGGGAGAAACAUGACUGGGAAAGAGAGAACACGCAAAUAUAGACAGAAAAUUAACAGGGAUCCAAGGAAAAGGGAGGAGAUCCUACGAGAACGACGCAGAAAAUAUCAUGAAAAGAAGGCUGAGGGGAGAGUGGAAACCUUCAACAUCAACUUGCUGCCACAAAGAAAGCAGAAUGAAUUUCGCAAAAAAUGGAAAGAAUCCAAAAAAAGAUGCAGGGCAAGAGAAAAGGCUCUCAGUGCUAUUCUGAACACUACGCCAGAGUCUCCAGAAAGCUCACCAGAGGAGGCAGUGGCUGAAUUACCAGCAGAACCUCCAGUCUUACCUUCUCCACUUCCUAAUGUGAGUAAACCUACUUCUCCAUCACCAGGGGCCACACCAACGAGAUGGACGAACCAAACAAAAAGAAUGAAAAAAGAGCUAGCAAGACUGCAGAGAGAAAAUAAAACUCUGAAAGAAUGCAUCAAAACUGAAACACAAAAAACAAAGCGAAUCAGAAAAAAAAUGCAACGCCUAACUCAAAAUACGCCAAAAAGGCAGAAGAAAAUUAGAAUGCCAAAAGAGAAAAAAAUAGUCACUGACAAGAGACAAGAAGUUGUAUCCUUCUUGACAAGAGAUGAAAACAGUAGACUUCUGGCAGGAAAGAAAGACACUAUUGGCAGAGUGAUCAAGAGACAGCGAAGAGUUCUCACAAAAUCUCUGCAAGACCUCCACAAUGACUACUAUAAAGACCCCACUAGGAAACAUUCAAUGUCUUACAGACAGUUUGUGAGAUAUAGGCCAUUUUAUAUUACAGAGGCAAAAGCAACUGA
Larimichthys crocea (large yellow croaker) is the source of this 973-nucleotide long non-coding RNA. RefSeq lists it as uncharacterized. NCBI's taxonomy places the organism in Eukaryota, Metazoa, Chordata, Actinopteri, Sciaenidae. The transcript has 3 exons. The record is from RefSeq and is a predicted model, not a curated record.